GAUGAACGCUGGCGGCGUGCCUAAUACAUGCAAGUCGAGCGAACAGACGAGGAGCUUGCUCCUCUGACGUUAGUGGCGGACGGGUGAGUAACACGUGGAUAACCUACCUAUAAGACUGGGAUAACUUCGGGAAACCGGAGCUAAUACCGGAUAAUAUAUUGAACCGCAUGGUUCAAUAGUGAAAGACGGUUUUGCUGUCACUUAUAGAUGGAUCCGCGCCGCAUUAGCUAGUUGGUAAGGUAACGGCUUACCAAGGCGACGAUGCGUAGCCGACCUGAGAGGGUGAUCGGCCACACUGGAACUGAGACACGGUCCAGACUCCUACGGGAGGCAGCAGUAGGGAAUCUUCCGCAAAGGGCGAAAGCCUGACGGAGCAACGCCGCGUGAGUGAUGAAGGUCUUCGGAUCGUAAAACUCUGUUAUUAGGGAAGAACAAAUGUGUAAGUAACUAUGCACGUCUUGACGGUACCUAAUCAGAAAGCCACGGCUAACUACGUG
This 497-nucleotide ribosomal RNA is filed under the name uncultured bacterium. RNAcentral describes it as "partial 16S ribosomal RNA". It matches the Rfam family "Bacterial small subunit ribosomal RNA", at positions 28 to 507 of the family's 1533-position model. The record is from RNAcentral.